GCUACGGUCACUAGCUCUAGCUGGCAGCUGGUCGUGCUGGACGUCGAAUCUGGAGAGGCAAAAGCUUGGGGCUCGCUCGCUCGCGGUGGUAGUGGUAGCCUAGCAGCCUGCAGGCAAACAACGCUUCCACUGUGGACGUACUGUGCGUGCAUAGCCCCCUUUGGCCUACGCUGCCAAUGUGGAGGGGUCAAACCGUCACUUCUGGUUUCCAGCACGGCAGCCGCAACUGCUAGCUCCCCGGAACAGCUCCGAGCAGUUCUUUUUUUUUUUUUCUAAAAAAAACUCCCAGCAGCUCUAGAUAUGAAACCUCUCCUAAUUUUUUUAGCCAAACACUCCCCACUCCCAUCUACUGUAGAUCUACCAAAACAUAAAACUGCUCCUAGAUACAUGAAAUUCAUAUUUUGUGGAGUACAUGACUUAUCGGUUCGUUCUAUUUCUCCUUUCUUCUCCUCCGCACGCAUCGCCUCGGUCUUUUUCUCUGCACGUGCCGCCUCCGGCGUCCUCCCUUGCUUCCUAGCAGGGCCGUGCACGGCAUUGCCGCACCCGCUCUCCCCACCCCGGAUGCACGGCAAAACAAAAGCUACUUAGGGCACUCUCAAAGGCAUGAAAUAAUUACUAGCUCCAUAACAUCUUCUCCAAUUAAUAAUAUUAACCUUUUAUCACAUGCUUGCACCU
This 675-nucleotide long non-coding RNA is filed under the name Sorghum bicolor (sorghum). RNAcentral describes it as "long non-coding RNA (SBIC_LNC001700)". The record is from RNAcentral. Lineage: Eukaryota; Viridiplantae; Streptophyta; Magnoliopsida; Poales; Poaceae.